CAGAUAAAUUUGCAAUUUUUGAAGUCAAUUAAAAUAUGACUCUUUGUAGAAUUUAGUUCCUUUUUUAACGGUCCAAAUUUUUACCAUCAAUUUAGAGCUACCUUAUUUUCAUUUCAUAUGAUUUAUUAUCUAUGGUCUGGAUUUAGUUUUUGGCUACCCAAAUUUCUGUUUUCUUUAUUUUUAUCUAUUUGAGAUACAGAUACAUCAUGGUGAUGCAUUUGUAAUUUUAACUUUGCUAAAAAAUAUUAGUAUAAACAUGUAGUAAUAAAAUAUAUAUAAUAUUUUUGAUAUAUUUUGUUCAUAACAGGAGCAAUAAUUUUACAUAUGUCUAAAUCAAACAAUGUCGAGGCAUUCAUUAAAUUUAUUCUUAAGUACAAACAUCAUAUGACUUAUACAAAAAUUAUACACUUCGAAAAUACAUAAAAACUAUUUUUCAACUUAAUUAUUUUGCAGUCAUAUUCUGUAGCAGACACACAUGAACAAAAAACACUUUGGAACCUCGCGAGCGAAACAUUUAUGGCAUCGACAAUCCUUGCUAGUUAAGCAGAACACGCGAUCUGUGAUGAGAAUAACUAUAAAGAGAUGAGUGAUUAUGUAAAUCGUAAAGAACAAAAUUUAAAACAGGUGUAAAAAGAACUUACCGUUGCUGGUCACAAGAACAAUUAGAGAAAGAAAGAUAAUCAAAGCAUCGGCG
This 694-nucleotide long non-coding RNA is filed under the name Medicago truncatula (barrel medic). RNAcentral's name for it is "lncRNA gene43248". The record is from RNAcentral. Lineage: Eukaryota; Viridiplantae; Streptophyta; Magnoliopsida; Fabales; Fabaceae.